CCUACGGGGGGCUGCAGUCGAGAAUCAUUCACAAUGGGGGAAACCCUGAUGGUGCGACGCCGCGUGGGGGAAUGAAGGUCUUCGGAUUGUAAACCCCUGUCAUGUGGGAGCAAAUUAAAAAGAUCGUACCACAAGAGGAAGAGACGGCUAACUCUGUGCCAGCAGCCGCGGUAAUACAGAGGUCUCAAGCGUUGUUCGGAAUCACUGGGCGUAAGGCGUGCGUAGGCUGUUUCGUAAGUCGUGUGUGAAAGGCGCGGGCUCAACCCGCGGACGGCACAUGAUACUGCGAGACUAGAGUAAUGGAGGGGGAACCGGAAUUCUCGGUGUAGCAGUGAAAUGCGUAGAUAUCGAGAGGAACACUCGUGGCGAAGGCGGGUUCCUGGACAGUAACUGACGCUGAGGCACGAAGGCCAGGGGAGCGAAAGGGAUUAGAUACCCUUGUAGUC
RNAcentral lists this ribosomal RNA (446 nucleotides) under uncultured bacterium. RNAcentral's name for it is "partial 16S ribosomal RNA". It matches the Rfam family "Bacterial small subunit ribosomal RNA", at positions 338 to 795 of the family's 1533-position model. The record is from RNAcentral.